GAUGAAGAACGUAGCGAAAUGCGAUAAGUAAUGUGAAUUGCAGAAUUCAGUGAAUCAUCGAAUCUUUGAACGCACAUUGCGCCCGCCAGUAUUCUGGCGGGCAUGCCUGUUCGAGCGUCAUUACAACCCUCAGGCCCCGGGCCUGGCGUUGGGGAUCGGCGGAAGCCCCCUGCGGGCACAACGCCGUCCCCCAAAUACAGUGGCGGUCCCGCCGCAGCUUCCAUUGCGUAGUAGCUAACACCUCGCAACUGGAGAGCGGCGCGGCCACGCCGUAAAACACCCAACUUCUGAAUGUUGACCUCGAAUCAGGUAGGAAUACCCGCUGAACUUAAGCAUAUCAAUAAGCGGAGGA
RNAcentral lists this unclassified non-coding RNA (352 nucleotides) under soil metagenome. RNAcentral describes it as "partial contains 5.8S ribosomal RNA, internal transcribed spacer 2, and large subunit ribosomal RNA". The stretch from base 1 to 120 matches the Rfam family "5.8S ribosomal RNA", at positions 35 to 154 of the family's 154-position model. The record is from RNAcentral.